UACGUAGGUGCAAGCGUUAUCCGGAUUUACUGGGUGUAAAGGGAGCGCAGGCGGCACGGCAAGCCUGAUGUGAAAGCCCGCGGCCCAACCGCGGGACUGCAUUGGGAACUACCGGGCUGGAGUGCCGGAGAGGUAGGCGGAAUUCCUAGUGUAGCGGUGAAAUGCGUAGAUAUUAGGAGGAACACCAGUGGCGAAGGCGGCCUACUGGACGGUGACUGACGCUGAGGCUCGAAAGCGUGGGGAGCAAACAGG
This 252-nucleotide ribosomal RNA is filed under the name uncultured bacterium. Its description in RNAcentral is "partial 16S ribosomal RNA". It matches the Rfam family "Bacterial small subunit ribosomal RNA", at positions 524 to 776 of the family's 1533-position model. The record is from RNAcentral.